AGUGAACGCUGGCGGUAGGCCUAACACAUGCAAGUCGAACGGCAGCUCAGUAAGAGCUUGCUCUUACGGGUGGCGAGUGGCGGACGGGUGAGGAAUACAUCGGAAUCUACUUUUUCGUGGGGGAUAACGUAGGGAAACUUACGCUAAUACCGCAUACGACCUACGGGUGAAAGCAGGGGAUCUUCGGACCUUGCGCGAUUGAAUGAGCCGAUGUCGGAUUAGCUAGUUGGCGGGGUAAGGGCCCACCAAGGCGACGAUCCGUAGCUGGUCUGAGAGGAUGAUCAGCCACACUGGAACUGAGACACGGUCCAGACUCCUACGGGAGGCAGCAGUGGGGAAUAUUGGACAAUGGGCGCAAGCCUGAUCCAGCCAUACCGCGUGGGUGAAGAAGGCCUUCGGGUUGUAAAGCCCUUUUGUUGGGAAAGAAAAGCAGCAGGUUAAUACCCCGCUGUUCUGACGGUACCCAAAGAAUAAGCACCGGCUAACUUCGUG
This 492-nucleotide ribosomal RNA is filed under the name uncultured bacterium. RNAcentral describes it as "partial 16S ribosomal RNA". It matches the Rfam family "Bacterial small subunit ribosomal RNA", at positions 29 to 507 of the family's 1533-position model. The record is from RNAcentral.